GAUGAACGCUGGCGGCGUGCUUAACACAUGCAAGUCGAGCGAAGCAGUUAAGUUGAUUUCUUCGGAUUGAUUCUUAACUGACUGAGCGGCGGACGGGUGAGUAACGCGUGGGUGACCUGCCCCAUACCGGGGGAUAACAGCUGGAAACGGCUGCUAAUACCGCAUAAGCGCACAGAGCUGCAUGGCUCGGUGUGAAAAACUCCGGUGGUAUGGGAUGGGCCCGCGUCUGAUUAGGCAGUUGGCGGGGUAACGGCCCACCAAACCGACGAUCAGUAGCCGGCCUGAGAGGGCGACCGGCCACAUUGGGACUGAGACACGGCCCAAACUCCUACGGGAGGCAGCAGUGGGGAAUAUUGCACAAUGGGGGAAACCCUGAUGCAGCGACGCCGCGUGAGCGAAGAAGUAUUUCGGUAUGUAAAGCUCUAUCAGCAGGGAAGAUAAUGACGGUA
Molecule: ribosomal RNA, 449 nt
Filed under: uncultured bacterium
Lineage: Bacteria
Description: bacterial SSU rRNA
Rfam family: Bacterial small subunit ribosomal RNA
Source: RNAcentral